This 479-nucleotide ribosomal RNA is filed under the name uncultured bacterium. RNAcentral describes it as "partial 16S ribosomal RNA". It matches the Rfam family "Bacterial small subunit ribosomal RNA", at positions 28 to 507 of the family's 1533-position model. The record is from RNAcentral.
GACGAACGCUGGCGGCGUGCUUAACACAUGCAAGUCGAACGAAGCUUGAUUACGUAUUCUUCGGAUGAAGUAUGAUAUGACUGAGUUGCGGACGGGUUAGUAACGCGUUAGUAACCUGCCCUUCAGAGGGGGAUAGCGUUUGGAAACGAACGGUAAUACCGCAUAAUGUAUUUUGACCGCAUGAUCGAAAUACCAAAGAUUUAUCGCUGAAGGAUGGACUCGCGUCUGAUUAGGUAGUUGGUGGGGUAACGGCCUACCAAGCCGACGAUCAGUAGCCGGACGGAGAGGUGGAUCGGCCACAUUGGGACUGAGACACGGCCCAGACUCCUACGGGAGGCAGCAGUGGGGAAUAUUGCACAAUGGGCGCAAGCCUGAUGCAGCAACGCCGCGUGAAGGAAGACGGUUUUCGGAUUGUAAACUUCUGUUCUUAGUGAAGAAUAAUGACGGUAGCUAAGGAGCAAGCCACGGCUAACUACGUG